This 113-nucleotide ribosomal RNA is filed under the name Pteropus alecto (black flying fox). Lineage: Eukaryota; Metazoa; Chordata; Mammalia; Chiroptera; Pteropodidae. The record is from RNAcentral.
GCCGAGAGGGACAUCUUUUUCUUCUCUUGAUCCCAUCUGAUCUCGGAAGCUAAGCUCGGGCCCGGUUAGUACUUGGAUGGGAGACCACCUAGGAAGACCAGGUGCUGUUGGCA